GGGGCUAUCGUCUAGGGGUCAGGACGCCGCCCUUUCACGGCGGCAACACGGGUUCGAAUCCCGUUAGCCCUACCA
Molecule: transfer RNA, 75 nt
Filed under: Holophaga sp.
Lineage: Bacteria; Pseudomonadati; Acidobacteriota; Holophagae; Holophagales; Holophagaceae
Also listed under: 2 other names
Description: tRNA-Glu
Rfam family: tRNA
About the family: Transfer RNA (tRNA) molecules are approximately 80 nucleotides in length. Their secondary structure includes four short double-helical elements and three loops (D, anti-codon, and T loops). Further hydrogen bonds mediate the characteristic L-shaped molecular structure. tRNAs have two regions of fundamental functional importance: the anti-codon, which is responsible for specific mRNA codon recognition, and the 3' end, to which the tRNAs corresponding amino acid is attached (by aminoacyl-tRNA synthetases). tRNAs cope with the degeneracy of the genetic code in two manners: having more than one tRNA (with a specific anti-codon) for a particular amino acid; and 'wobble' base-pairing, i.e. permitting non-standard base-pairing at the 3rd anti-codon position.
Source: RNAcentral